RNAcentral lists this unclassified non-coding RNA (493 nucleotides) under Hevea brasiliensis (rubber tree). Lineage: Eukaryota; Viridiplantae; Streptophyta; Magnoliopsida; Malpighiales; Euphorbiaceae. The record is from RNAcentral.
UUUUGCUGGGCAUCAGGUUUGUUCUUGCUUUCAACUUAUUAUUGCUCUUGCCAUACUGUUUGAAGUUUACGCUUGUCUGAACUCAAAAGUGGUUUAGUAUGACCUUUUAGCCGAUGGCAGGUUCUAGAUGGCCUGUGAAUGCCAGCUGAACUUGGCCCGCUUAUGAUAAUUCUAAAUAAUGCAACCUAUACCCUGCUAUGUUUUUCGAUCCAAUAAGCCUCCAAUCUUGUGAACCAGUUAGCCUAAAACAAUUUUAUGCUUUUAAAUAUUUAACUUAGCACCAGUCUGGUUGACUUCAGUUUGACAGAUUUGGAGGCUUAAUCUGAUGUGCAACAAUGUUUUACCAGUGUGUUGUUUAUGUGAAGUAGAAAACCAUAAAUAGAUGAGUCCUCUUACCUACAUGAUUGUUAUUUGAUUAAUUGGUUUUGUGGAAAAUUGUCGCUAUAAACUGCGGUUACUAUUUUGUGCCUUGUACAAUUUCAGGGUGAGGUUA